RNAcentral lists this ribosomal RNA (497 nucleotides) under uncultured bacterium. Its description in RNAcentral is "partial 16S ribosomal RNA". It matches the Rfam family "Bacterial small subunit ribosomal RNA", at positions 28 to 507 of the family's 1533-position model. The record is from RNAcentral.
GAUGGACGCUGGCGGUGUGCCUAAUACAUGCAAGUCGAGCGAACAGACGAGGAGCUUACUCCUCUGACGUUAGCGGCGGACGGGUGAGUAACACGUGGAUAACCUACCUAUAAGACUGGGAUAACUUCGGGAAACCGGAGCUAAUACCGGAUAACAUGUUGAACCGCAUGGUUCAACAGUGAAAGACGGUCUUGCUGUCACUUAUAGAUGGAUCCGCGUCGCAUUAGCUAGUUGGUAAGGUAACGGCUUACCAAGGCAACGAUGCGUAGCCGACCUGAGAGAGUGAUCGGCCACACUGGAACUGAGACACGGUCCAGACUCCUACGGGAGGCAGCAGUAGGGAAUCUUCCGCAAUGGGCGAAAGCCUGACGGAGCAACGCCGCGUGAGUGAAGAAGGUCUUCGGAUCGUAAAACUCUGUUAUUAGGGAAGAACAAAUGUGUAAGUAACUAUGCACGUCUUGACGGUACCUAAUCAGAAAGCCACGGCUAACUACGUG